Molecule: long non-coding RNA, 703 nt
Organism: Solanum pennellii
Lineage: Eukaryota; Viridiplantae; Streptophyta; Magnoliopsida; Solanales; Solanaceae
Exons: 2
Source: RefSeq, a predicted model, not a curated record
UUUGAGGCAUUUUUGUAUUAGUCAUGUGUUUUCUUGAUUUUUUUAUUUUUGGAUAUUUUGGGGAUUACGUAAUAUUCGGAAAAUUCGGAUGGUAACGAAAAGAAGUAAUAUUUUGUUCUGUUAUUCGUCAUGAUAUUCUAAGGUCAUUUGUGCAAGUCGAAAUUUUUAUAAGGCAUGUUUUGCAUUGUUUAUCCGAGUUAUUUACUUCUUGGCCAUUUUUGGGCAUUUACGUAACAUUUUGCCAUUUUCGGGCAGGUCAUAUGAAAAAUUGGCAGAUGCAUCUGGAAAAGUAACACAAGAUGCUAAAGGUAUACAAGAGGAGAUAGUAAGUUUUACAAAGGCCUAUUGGAUGCAAUGACAAAGCAAUUAACCUCGGUCGAGCCUCAUAUCAUGGAAUUGGAAACAACUUUGAAUAGAGGACAACAAUUACUAUUGAUUGACAAGGUUAUAUCAGAAGAUGUGUGCAGUGCUUUGUUGACUAUUCCGGUCAACAAAGUCCCAUGAAGGUGAUAAUUUUAAUGCUCUAUUUUAUAAGAAAACAUGGUCUAUAAAGGGUAAGGAGAUCACUCAAUUUGUGUUACAUUUCUUUGAUACUGGAGUAAUGUGUGAAGCUAUAAACUGUGCUUUUAUCACUCUUAUUCCAAAGACUAAGCAUGCUAAAUCAGUGUAAGAGUAUAGGACAAUAUUAUGUUGCAUCAUAGUA